GAUACUUACUGCCUGAUAAUGAGGAGCCUUGGCUCCUGGACAGGAACCUAACUCCUGGCUUAUCACAGGGACGACAAUUGGUCUAGAGAAAUCUAUGCUGAACAGGCCAAUCCUCCUCAAGACUUGACCAGUUUCAGCUUUGAGCAACUUGAAGGCCAACUGCCCUGAGUUGAUGAACUUCUGCUUCCUAAUUGGGUUUGUUUUGUUUUGUUUUUGCUUUUUAAAAACUUCUUGAGUUUAUUAUGGCCAAAGGCUAGGUGAGCAGAGAACCUGCUCAUGGCCGACCUUGAGAAAUGUAGGCAGAACGUCCACUGGCAGCAGAGAGCUGAGGAAGUGUUGGGCCGAGCCUUACAAUAGAAGCUGCAGCAGAGGCCUGCGCUCUCCCUUCUGAUGGCUGCCUGGGAAGUCAGACACUAUUCUCGGAGGUCCAACUUCACAGUGAGGAAGGCAAGACACCUAAACAGAAGGUCAUUUUCCCUUAGAUUGCUUCUAAGGCUUAGAAGAACAGAAGGAACAUAAAUGCCUUUAAUUUGCAGGCUGAGUUGGAUGAAAGGGAGGUCUUAAGACUCUU
RNAcentral lists this long non-coding RNA (571 nucleotides) under Mus caroli (Ryukyu mouse). Its description in RNAcentral is "predicted gene 9917 (MGP_CAROLIEiJ_G0004247.1)". The record is from RNAcentral. Lineage: Eukaryota; Metazoa; Chordata; Mammalia; Rodentia; Muridae.